AUAUGGUGGGACUUGACUUGGCCAAUGAGUACCUGCUCUACUUUCUGGAGCCAGUUUGCGAAAGGUACUGGCAAUGGCCUCUCUCAAAGGUUGAAAUUCGAAUAAAUUUUGUUUCCCGCUGGCCCGGUGAAAAAAUAUUGUUUUGUGUCAAGCACAAACAGUAAGGACAGGCGGUAUCCUGCUCUGUUUCAUUUCCAUUCUAGAGGAUAAACCAUUACCGGACGGCAUAUUAAAGGCGUUGCAUGUUGUCGCAGGGUGUUCGGUUUUCAUGCUCACGCUCACGCCAUCAGAGCCAAUCCUGAUGGCAUUUGGCUACGUUCGACCCAUUCAUUGGCAGAAAAUGUGGAGGUACCCAUGCUAGUUGUGCAACAAGUAUAAAGAAAAACUUGAAAAUCAGUCC
Molecule: small RNA, 400 nt
Filed under: Histoplasma capsulatum
Lineage: Eukaryota; Fungi; Ascomycota; Eurotiomycetes; Onygenales; Ajellomycetaceae
Also listed under: 1 other name
Description: hypothetical RNA
Source: RNAcentral